GGGCUUCUCAUAAAUAGCUCAGACAGUAGAGCAUGGGACUCUUAAUCUGAGGGCCAUGAGUUCGAGCCCCACGAUGUUCA
Non-coding RNA from Podarcis lilfordi (Lilford's wall lizard), 80 nucleotides. NCBI's taxonomy places the organism in Eukaryota, Metazoa, Chordata, Lepidosauria, Squamata, Lacertidae. The record is from the annotation of a GenBank genome assembly.